Molecule: unclassified non-coding RNA, 274 nt
Filed under: Hevea brasiliensis (rubber tree)
Lineage: Eukaryota; Viridiplantae; Streptophyta; Magnoliopsida; Malpighiales; Euphorbiaceae
Source: RNAcentral
UAUUAUCAUUAUUGUUAUUAUUAUAACAAAUGUCAAUUUUGGCCUGGUUGCCAAUGAGAUCUUCAUAGAGCGGUAAUCGGUAAAACUAGAGAAGGCUAAGGCUUUGGAAUCAAGCUCAGGUUCAAUAUUGUUGGUUGAGUUGUUAUGUUUCAUCGUUUACUUUAAAUUUGAAAAUAUACUUUGCUUUUUACCAGUUUCGGUUCAGUUGAAAUUAAUAAUAAUAAGAUUAUUUCUGAUAAAAAAAAUUACGGCCUGGUUUACUGUUCAGGUUUUG